Molecule: long non-coding RNA, 858 nt
Filed under: Gossypium barbadense (sea-island cotton)
Lineage: Eukaryota; Viridiplantae; Streptophyta; Magnoliopsida; Malvales; Malvaceae
Description: long non-coding RNA (GBAR_LNC022416)
Source: RNAcentral
UAACUAUGAUUUAACUGUCUAAUGAAUUGCAAUAUUAAUCCUCCAUCUGGGAACUUGUACCGUUGUCGAGAAAGAAAAUAGGUAAAAAGGAUUCUUCCAUUUUUUUUAAUUGUAAAAUUGAAUAAAUUGAUUUCUUUUAAAAAAAAUCGGAGUAAUUUAAUUCUUGUUAAUUUUGGAAGUAAGUAAUUAAGAAUAAUUAAUCAUGAUGUUAAUGUUUUCCUUUAACUGUACAUAAUUUUGAUUAGUAUAAUAAUAAAUUUAACUUUUAAAGUUUACACAUUUUGUCAAUUUGGUCCUAAUUUAUCAAAUUUAUUCCAUGAUUUUUAUGUAAACAUGUAAAUGUUGAGGCUAAGUUUGAUGAAUUUUUAGAAUUAAGAUUAAAAUGAAAAAAAUAUGUAAAUAUUGAAGGUUAAAUUUAUUGUUCUACCAAUCAAAAUUAGUACAAUUGACAGAAGACGUUAACAUGAUAAUUACAUUUUUUAGUUGUUCACUUUUAAAAUUGAUACUGAUUAAAUUGCUUUAAAAUUUUUAAGGUGAGUAGAGAUGUGUUUUUAGCAAGAGAAUAUAAAGUUUGAAGUUUCUGGAAAUGGGUUUCAAAGAUGCGUUGAAUGCUUCCGCAGGCAGCCAUGGAUUCUUCUAGGAAAUGAAAGAAAAUACAAAGCAAUUAUAUUUAAGUUGGAGUUUUUCAACUAGAUUUGUAAUUUUGUGCUAAUUUUUUCUAUAAUAAUUUUUUGGGCUAAUGUUAGGUAAUGAAAUAAUUGUUGUUUGUCUAGUUAUGUAGUUUGGGUGUUGGUGUUCAUUUUUUUUUCUUUUCUUUUGGUCUUCAUGUUUGUUGAGGAAUCAAAUAAAAGAUUUGGA